Molecule: ribosomal RNA, 429 nt
Filed under: Globorotalia inflata
Lineage: Eukaryota; Foraminifera; Rotaliida; Globorotaliidae
Description: bacterial SSU rRNA
Rfam family: Eukaryotic small subunit ribosomal RNA
Source: RNAcentral
GACAGGCAAUAUAUUAGCAUAAAGACUCGUCUUUAGCGCUAAUUGUUAAAUAUGCUAGUCCUUUCAUGAUUAUGUGAUAGGUGGUGCAUGGCCGUUCUUAGUUCGUGGAGUGAUCUGUCUGCUUAAUUGCGUUUCACUAAGGGCCCAUAAAUUCAAGGUAUGUUAGCAAAUGCUGCUCUAUUGACCCCUAAUAGGCUUAACUGUCUUUAGCGCGUGUCUCUACGAGUUCUUUAAAGCACUGCGCAUGCUGUUGGGUCCUGAAAGCAACGAACGUGACCGCAACGUCUUGUUGCCUCUCUAUAAUACCUUCUUAUUUUUAAUAAGAGUAUUUACCUGAGGCUAUUUUAAAACUAGACGGACCGCUGUUUCUUUCUUAAACCAGAGGAAGGUUGCGGCAAUAACAGGUCUGUGAUGCCCUUAGAUGUUCCG